AUUUACACUGCUGCCAUAAGCCAGGUAUAUAUUUAAUGGUUGAGUUUACUAUCCUUUUGUUAAUUCUCUUGCUUAGAAAUGCAGUCAAUUUUUGUGGAAGGAUAGGAGGAGUUUUCUGAGAACAAAAAGAAAAAGAAGAAAAAAAUAAUUUAAGGAGGGAGGGGGGAAAAGCAGAAACUAUUGAAAAGCCACUAUAUGCUAAAGAUUGAGCAUGUAGGCUACCAUUCGCCGCGGGCCGCGCCCCUCCAACAACAACCAAAAAAAAGAAAAAAAAAAAGAAAGAAAGAAAAUAAACUGGAGCCUCAAAAAAGCAUAUGAUGACACGAGGAGUACAAGGAGGGCCAAUUUGAUACUACGCCAGCACCACUCACUAAGCUCAUUAAAACAACUCAUGGUCAGCCCAUUUCCCAAAAAAAAGCAGAAACAAAAGGAGAUUCUUUUAUCUUGAGCCAGUAGCUGUAUCGGUCUUCUUUUUGCCUUUAAAAACUUGCAGGACCCCAUCUGAUCCUCCUGCAACUAGUGUACAUUCAUCGUCCCCCACUUGCCUCCAACAUACACAGCUUACAAACCCACGGUCGGCUAUGCCUGGCUCGAACCCAUGCAUCCAUAUGGGUUCGCCCCACCUCUUGUCGUAAACGAACACUUGGUUGUUUUCCGAUCCGCACCCUAAUAACCCUCCAUUUCUCCACAUCGAUAACCCAACAAAGUUCUUAUUAUUAACAUGCCCCUUGUACGUGCGAAUCAUUUGGGAAUCUUGUAAAUUCCACAGCUUUAAGCACCCAUCAAUGCCUGCGGAUACCAAUGUAAGCUCAUUCACAAACCUGACGUAUGUCACGGUUUUCUCAUGCCCAUCUAGCACGAAUGCCGGGUCUUUCAUCAUCCGGGUAUCGUACCCGUAUACCCUCCUGUCAGCGCAUCCAACGGCUAUCGUUGACCUGGUAGACGGAUUAAACUCCACGCUACAGACGGCCCUCCGCGUCUCGCCGGGUUGAACUGUAGCUACACAUCCACCGCCCUCACAACGUGGGUCCCACAUUUGCAUGGUCCCAUCGUCCGAUCCAGACGCACCAAUCACCGGAUCCCAAUGCGAAUAAUCCACGCUCCAUACCCGGCGACCACCAUGCUCAUCGCGUUCAAAGAUCGGUACUCUUCUCUCAAGGUCAUACUCCAUGACAACUCCGUCGUAGUCUCCCGACGCUAUAACCCGGCUAUCGGAACCAGGUUUCCAUCGGAGACUGCUAAGCUUAGCCGGGGUACAUAUGUAAUAUUCGCAAACAUUAGCAUGGUCUAACAAAACCAUAUCGUGUCCAUUUUGGCUACCUUCAUGCGGUAGCAAAGACUUGAAGUUAUAGAUUCUUAUCUUUCUGGCAAUUCCACCCGUGGCAACGAUGCUUUCAGACUGGUCGAAUUCGAUUACACCGAGGGCAUCGGACCCAGCUCCAUGGCUGCUUGAUGAAACCACCGUCUCAAGACUGAAAUCCCAUUCACAUCUAGCUCUUUCUUCUUCUUUGUCUUCUUCUUCUAUGUGUUGCUCUAUGAUUUGGCUUUCUUCAUGUUUUAGCGCUUCAACCCUAGUUGCAGGAUGGAAUUGAUCAGACAGGUUUUUCAUUGCCCAUUCACCGUAUCUCGUAUAGAUGUUAAUGUUGCAAAGCUUUCAGCGUUUGGACCAGUGAAAGGUUCCCAUAAAUCUAGCAAAGUUUCCAUAAUUGCCGAGAAUAGAUAAAUCGCCUAGUUAUCCUCAUCUUUUUUAUUUUCUUUUUCUAUUUUUGUUUUGUUUGUAUUUUCAUUUUCUCCAUUGUCUUUAUAAGAUUUUGUUUUCCUUUUCAAUAAAAU
RNAcentral lists this unclassified non-coding RNA (1833 nucleotides) under Hevea brasiliensis (rubber tree). The record is from RNAcentral. Lineage: Eukaryota; Viridiplantae; Streptophyta; Magnoliopsida; Malpighiales; Euphorbiaceae.